This is a long non-coding RNA of Callorhinchus milii (elephant shark), 128 nucleotides long. RefSeq lists it as uncharacterized. The record is from RefSeq and is a predicted model, not a curated record. NCBI's taxonomy places the organism in Eukaryota, Metazoa, Chordata, Chondrichthyes, Chimaeriformes, Callorhinchidae. The transcript is spliced from 2 exons.
UAACAUCAGGGAGAUAGAGAGAGAGUACCAUCAGGGAGGUGAGUGUCUGCCGUCAGGGAGAUAGAGAGAGAGUAACAUCAGGGAGAUAGAGAGAGAGUAACAUCAGGGAGGUGAGUGUCUGCCAUCAG